Molecule: long non-coding RNA, 691 nt
Filed under: Ananas comosus (pineapple)
Lineage: Eukaryota; Viridiplantae; Streptophyta; Magnoliopsida; Poales; Bromeliaceae
Description: long non-coding RNA (ACOM_LNC018569)
Source: RNAcentral
UUAUGGUGGUCUUAUCUUUAACAUUAUAUACAUAUAUAUAUAAAAUAUAGAACUAUUAUAUUUUCAGAAGUAUAAAAGAGUCGAUGGUUUUCACUUUUUUAUCCUGAAUUAAAAAUUAUGGGAUUGAAAUGAUAGUCAGAUAUAGGAUUUAGUGGUAUUUCAAGAAAAUUAAUAUUAAUCUAAGGACCAGAAAUCAUCAAAAGGUUGAUACAAGAAUAAAAAAAGUCGAAAACAUUAACUCUUUUAUACUUCCGAAAAUCAGACUCUUAUAUGUAAUACUUAUUUGUUUGUUCGUAAAUAAUUUUCAUAUGAAGAGUAAAAAUUACUUUAACUAAAAUUUAGGUGAAAAAUAAUUUGUUAUUUCUGUUUGUUGGAUAGAAAAUCAAUAAUUUCAUAACCGUAAUUAUUUCCUUUUCUAUUUAUUUUAUUAAAAAUUUUCACACUAAUGUAUAAAAUGACAAAAAGUCACAGUAAAUAUUUUUUUUUGUUUUUUUAUUUUUUUUUUGAAAUUAAAUUCAAUAUUAAUCAGAAUAAAGUCAGUGAUAAAAUAGAUAUUUAUAGAUAAAAUUAAAAAAUUAAUUGUGCAUUUUCCAUCUCAUCGUAUUCAAGGGAUCUCUUGCGACAUAUAAUCAAAUCCUCAUCAAAAAAAUCUUUUUUUUUCUUUUUUUUCUUUUUUUCUUUCUCUCUCUUU